This 70-nucleotide transfer RNA is filed under the name Gehyra variegata. Its description in RNAcentral is "tRNA-Ile". Lineage: Eukaryota; Metazoa; Chordata; Lepidosauria; Squamata; Gekkonidae. The record is from RNAcentral.
GGAAGCGUGCCCGAGACCAAGGACUACUUUGAUAGAGUAAAACACAGGGGAUCGCCCCCCCCUCUCUUCC